UACGUAGGGGGCAAGCGUUGUCCGGAUUUAUUGGGCGUAAAGAGCGUGUAGGCGGCUUGGCAAGUCCGCUGUGAAAACUCGAGGCUCAACCUCGAGCUGUCGGUGGAAACUGCUUGGCUAGAGUCCGGAAGAGGAGUGUGGAAUUCCUGGUGUAGCGGUGAAAUGCGCAGAUAUCAGGAAGAACACCUAUGGCGAAGGCAGCACUCUGGGACGGUACUGACGCUGAGACGCGAAAGCGUGGGGAGCGAACAGG
RNAcentral lists this ribosomal RNA (253 nucleotides) under uncultured bacterium. RNAcentral's name for it is "partial 16S ribosomal RNA". It matches the Rfam family "Bacterial small subunit ribosomal RNA", at positions 524 to 776 of the family's 1533-position model. The record is from RNAcentral.